GCUUUGAUGCCAUGGCGAUUUCUGGCGUGACGCUGUGACCUUACGUUUGACUGUAACUUCCACAAACAGCCUCCGAUUUGCCCGAGACUGAACAUCACAUCACCAGUGUGGUAAAGAUCUGUCUCUUUUACAAACGAUCCCACCUGUUUCCCUGCUGUCGUCCUCCAUCCAGACCUCGGGACUCACUGUAGCUUUAUCUGGAAUCACCCAGAGACUUUAUUGAAACCUCAUAAAUGAACAGUUUUCGCCCUCCUGUUUGAAGAGUGGAAACAAACUGGAAGUCUGGUCAGUAAAGCUGGUCCCAGUGGGAGCCUGCAGGUCUCAGGCCCAUUAAAGUGCUAAGCUGACCAGUUUUUACGGUCUGCUCUCCUGUGGUCCGCUGACCCAGCACAUCCAGUACCGACUAACUGGUGAAGUUCACGCCUACUUAUAGAAGAAGCCUCUGAUUGGCAGGUGGAAUCGGCCAGCAGCAGCUUGUCGUAUGCGUGAGUCAUCAUGAGUCUGGGUGCAGUGGGGUGAACAUCUGCUCUGACUGCAGCUCGGACCAACUGUUCCAGCGACGGCCGCGCGAGGACGACUGCUGCGAGGAGCACACAGAGAGAGGACAACUCAAACUUCUCAGCGCAUCUUCCUACCUGCCCACCUGCUCGGAUACAUCCACGUUCCUGACAGGGCCAUGCGGAGGCGGGGCCAAUGCUACCAAGACCAGAAUGGGCCAGGCCAGAUGUGAAGUAGUGGUGUGCAUCUCUACCUGCCUCACGAUUCCAUCCGAUUCCGAUUAUCUGCCUAACGAUUCGAUUUGAGUCUGAAAUGCAUCACGAUUCUUCACAAAAUGUUCCAUUACUUAAUAAAAGCAGUAGAAUAGUUUUCAAUUUCUUUUUUAUUUCGAUAUCCCUGAAAAACAGAACAUAUACUAUAGUGAGCAAUAAUGUUUAAAGUGUGCUGCCUAUAAUUACUUAAAUAAUAUAAGAAAUAAUGUUUUCUAAAGAGCAGCUUUAAGAUAGAAUAUUACUGAACUUAAAAAUAGUAAACAAAUACUGUGUUAAGUGAUUCUUUCACAUCCAGGAUCCCAAAACCUAAAUUAGCCCAGACAUCCGAUUUAAAUGUAACGGGCACAUCUUUGAUUACUGGUACUGUUGGCCCUGUGUCCCUGUCCGCCUUUUCUGUUUUAAAUUGGCGCUAGGGCAACGCAGUGCGCAUGUCAUUGCAACUCUGCCCCCAGAAGUAGUUGUAAAACUUCAAAACUUUAUUGUCCUCAUGCGUCCAGAACAUAGACAUAGGGAGAAAAUCUCAUGAUGUCACGUUGCUGCAUCGAUGCGGAAUCAUGCACGGCGGAAUCGCGAUGCAUCUUAGAAUUGAUCAUUUUUCCCACCUCUAAUGUGAAGACGCCAAUAGUUGCAUUAUGUGUAAAAGUUGUGUCAUUAAAAGCCUGAAAACCGAUACAGAUAUUUUCCCAUUUUAAAUUUUAAAACCAAUAUCGACCAUAUUUGGACAUCCCUAGAAAUAAUAUUUUAACUGAACCUUCCAUCUACACCUGCUGAUGAAAUAUUUCAUCUUCCUUUUACUCAGAAAUGAUCAGAGUUCUGUUAUCCUCCCAAAUAAUUCUGAUUGUCAGGAGUUCUGUAGCUCUGCUCUCGGACUGACUCACCUUUACACCAGAAGCAUUUAUUGCUCGGUGACAUCAUGCAGGGUCACUCUGGGGAGUUAAUCACUCUGCUGCACCUCCUUCUCCCCGUUCCAGUCUCAGGACAGGUGCUUAUCGGGCCCAGCAGCUGGACUCUCCUUCAGCUUGGAACCGGACCACCCUGGGGAGGGUAACAGAGCCAACUCCCAUUUUCGGCACGGCCUUGUUGUAGCUGGCAGCGUAGUUGGUCUGAUUGAGAUCUUACAGGAGAAAAUGUCAUUUCCUCACUCUGAGCCCCGCAGGUCGCACCUCGCUGCCACCCUCCUACUGAGCCAGGAGCGAGCCUUUGCUGUUCAAGGCUGUCACUCAGUGAAACACUAAAUGUCUCUUUAUUAACAAUGCAGCUGCUCCCCUCUGAGGUCACGCUCGGUGAUAAACACACACACACACACACACGCCCAUGAGCACAUGAGGUCACACACUUUGGCUUUUUGACCUUCAGUUACAACGGAAAAGAAAAGGGACAGGAGGCUUCAUGCUGGAGUCCAAAAACCUCAAGACUGCUUCAGGGUGCCACAGAUACGAGUUCCAGUGGAGGAUGAAAUCUAAACGGGCCACGGGACGCAAGCAAACAACUUCCCCCAGCAGAUUCUGGGUUGGGAUGAAAUGAAAACACAAUCUUUUGGCUAAUCCUAUUCCAUAAUUUGGUUCUUUUCUGAACACAGAAUAAUGGAGGUUCGUUGUUUACCUUCGUGGUGGAAGUGAUGCCACUAACAUCGGCGACGCUCUGAAGAAGGCUACAGAUGUAGCCGGAGCUUGUCAGCAAGAAUGUACAUAGUUCUCUAUUAGUCUGUUCACAAACGAACCAAAUAUUGGAAAUGGAUAACCAACACAGAGCAAGCUUAACUCAAAUGUUCAAAAUAACUAAUCCUGUUUCAGCGCUGUACGGUGCGACGUGUAGUGUUGAAAAAAUUCUGUGCAAGAAAGAAUUUUUAGACGUAGAACUGUUCAUUUCAUAAUAGAUAUGUCACCGUUACAUUUUCAGUAGUAGAAAUUAAAUGUUUUUAGCACUUCCAGUACCACUGAACACGUUGAUGAAAUACAUACAAUUCUUCUGAUCACAGUUUAACUGUGGACACAUUUAUGUAUACAUAUAUAUAUA
RNAcentral lists this long non-coding RNA (2786 nucleotides) under Nothobranchius furzeri (turquoise killifish). Its description in RNAcentral is "lncRNA (ENSNFUG00015013303.1)". The record is from RNAcentral. Lineage: Eukaryota; Metazoa; Chordata; Actinopteri; Cyprinodontiformes; Nothobranchiidae.